AUUGAACGCUGGCGGCAUGCUUUACACAUGCAAGCCGAACGGUAGAGGGGGCAACCCCUUGAGAGUGGCGAACGGGUGAGUAAUGCAUCGGAACGUGCCCAGUCGUGGGGGAUAACGCAGCGAAAGCUGUGCUAAUACCGCAUACGAUCUCUGGAUGAAAGCGGGGGACCGAAAGGCCUCGCGCGAUUGGAGCGGCCGAUGUCAGAUUAGGUAGUUGGUGGGGUAAAGGCUCACCAAGCCAACGAUCUGUAGCUGGUCUGAGAGGACGACCAGCCACACUGGGACUGAGACACGGCCCAGACUCCUACGGGAGGCAGCAGUGGGGAAUUUUGGACAAUGGGCGCAAGCCUGAUCCAGCAAUGCCGCGUGCAGGAAGAAGGCCUUCGGGUUGUAAACUGCUUUUGUACGGAACGAAAAGGUCUGGGUUAAUACCCUGGGCACAUGACGGUACCGUAAGAAUAAGCACCGGCUAACUACGUGCCAGCAGCCGCCGCGG
RNAcentral lists this ribosomal RNA (496 nucleotides) under uncultured bacterium. RNAcentral describes it as "partial 16S ribosomal RNA". It matches the Rfam family "Bacterial small subunit ribosomal RNA", at positions 29 to 523 of the family's 1533-position model. The record is from RNAcentral.